Molecule: long non-coding RNA, 609 nt
Organism: Impatiens glandulifera
Lineage: Eukaryota; Viridiplantae; Streptophyta; Magnoliopsida; Ericales; Balsaminaceae
Exons: 4
Source: RefSeq, a predicted model, not a curated record
UGGCCGCCGCUUAUCAAUUCCUUUCAAAUCUAGUCAUCUUCUUGAAUCUCUUGUUGCCAUAAGUACAGAAGUUCUGGUGAUGUGAUUAUCAAAGUGAUCGGAGAUGAAGAUUCAAAGAAAUUUUCAAUACACUGGGGAAAUCAAAGUUGUACGAUUCAAAUGGAAUGUAAGUAGAAUUAUUAAAGUUUAUGUCUAUGAUGGAGUAUAUAGGAUAAAGAGCUUCAGGCGCCUUCAAAUGAGAUUUGGAUUAGCAGUGUUGUUACUGGAAAAUUUGGUGACAUACCCUGCUUUAAGAUCACAUGAUCUUACUCCAUUUCCAUCUGAUCGUAUCACAAGAUGAAAAGUGACCGUCACCCACAAAUAGUGAUGGGUCCCUAACCGAAACACUAUCAAUAACUUCAGUCCUCCAGCUCCCAAUAAACAAAUUCACUAUCAAUAACUUCAGUCCUCCAGCUCCCAAAUAAACAAAUGAGUACUUGGGACAUUUGUAAAGGUUAUUCAAUCCGAGAUAAUGGCAAUGCGAGCUUUGAGAAAUGUCAAUGAACGGAGAAGGAGAAGGAGAAGUGUUAGUGUGUUAGAUUGAUAAUAACUUGUUAAGAGUUGUGUGAG